UCUGUUUCUUGCUUCGACACCUGGGGUGUUGUUCAGUGCGUGUUGUUUUUGCCUCGACACCUGGAGUCCUGCUCAGUCCUAUCGUGUCUUCGCUCCACAGAGAGGUGGAGAAAGAGGGAGGUGGUACUGUUUGUUAGCAUGUACGAUUCGGAUUCGAUCUUCCCUGCGUAGAUUGGCUGAACGCAGAAAGCCUUGGAGAUUUCAGGUUGGGAAAGCUUUCGCAGUGUUCGUUUUGGGAGGCAGAAGGCCUCAACUAAGGCUAUUCAGGGAUUCGAGAGAAGGAGGAAGACCAUAACAAAGACGUACUUCGUUUGCGGGUAAUCAAAAAUGGUGUAAUUGCUGAGUCAUAGGUUCUGCAUGUUGUCAUUCCAUUCGUUUCCUGUUCGAUUUAGCACUUAUUUGUGAAAGAUUGUUGGGUGCUGAGUCAUAGGUUCUGCAUGUCUGAUUUGGUGUUUUAUGUGUUUUAUCAAUUCGAGUCUUUUAUGUGUUUCAGUUGGAUAUAACUUUGUUUAGUAUUGAUUUCAAAACUGUCCAAGCUAAUCUAGAAGACGGAGUUCAGGCUAGAGCAAGAUGUUCACAGGUAUGCUGGCACUUCGUUUUCCACUCACUUUUGAUUAUCCAAAUCAAUCAAUGUGAAAGAGAAGCCUCAAAGCACAGGAAAAGUCUUGAUUACAGAAUUCACAACCACUGUUCAAAAGGGAUUCCUUCUAGGAUUAAGAUUCUGCCCUGAACUUUUUGGUAUACAAAUAAGAUCUCCAUUACUUUUCCAUUUCCAGAAGCCUCUAUCAACAUCAGUCUCUCUCCUUCGCCGACAUCAACAGCACCCAUCACUCAUUGCUUGUUUGUUGUGAGCAGCAAGAACAGUGUUUGCGACUAUAGCUUCCAAACCAGAGCCGACCCAGACGAGCACAAAGCUACCAUCUUUGCUGCAGAACCAAGUGUUCGCCCAAUACAGAGGAAGAGGCGAGCCGAAAGAAAGGGAGAAGAGAACGGGGAAGAAGGAAGAGAAGGAAAAGAGACAGACCGGAAACUCUUGACUAAAACAACACAAGUGGAAGAAAGUGCUGGAUUAUUCAGUUUUGUUUUCUGGUCAGGAAGCUGGAUUUAGAAAUGGAUAGAAAGAAGGAAUGAAAGAAAGGGAGAGGUCCGUUCGAUCUUUUGUUGUUGGUUGCUGAUCAAAGGAUUGUUGAUAGGGAGAGAAUUUUCAUCUGUUCUUUGUUUGUCGGGUUAAAAGAUUAUUCCCAACCACUAUCUUGCUUCAAGUCAUUUUCUUCAGUGAGUACCAGACCCAGCAAGGGUAACCAAAGCACCACAGCAAGUAAGUUUUCAAAUGUUGCAGAUAUAUAUUCAUCAGGGUAAUUGAUUCUGUCUUUGCUCAAUUUCUGGUUUUCAAGUAAAGUCAGUUGCUUCUUCACAGCUAAAAUGGGUUCCAUUUAUGCAAUUUGGUGAAUUUGAGGGAUAGAUUUUUUUUUUUUUUUUUUUUGUGGUUGCAUGUAAUUUUGUAACAUUUGUUCUUAGUUUUUGAGGGUGUACUUUGUUUAGUGAUAUACUGUUAUACAGCUGCAUUCAGGGAUGUAGUGAAAGACAUCAAUUGAGAUUGGUAUAAGACGGUAGUGUAUCUGUUUCAUUUGAUCGAGUGUGGUUUCUGCUUAUUUUUAGUUGUUUGCUACUUUAUUUUCUACUAUACCUGUUUCAUUUGAUCAACUGUGGUUUCUGCUUACUUUUAGUUGUUUACUACUUUGUUUUUAUUUGAACCGUCCAUAUUUGAAAUUCAUGGAGCACAUGGGUACCUUAGAAACAUGAACUGUACUACAGAAGAUCAUAGUAAAUGAGAAGGAGAGGGAAUUCAUGAUUAUAUGUAAUGAAAUCAAAAUUGAUCGCGAGAUUACUGCUGGAACUGAGAUAGUAAGCUUCAUCAUGUACUCAUCAAGUGUGCUUAAUAUCUGGAUGAAGAUUCAUAGUUGAAGGCUACAGACUUUGGCCUGUCAGAUUUUGUGAAACCAGAUGAAAAGUUUAUCAAAAUUGUUGGUAGUACAUACUGUGUAGCCCCCAAAGUGUUACAUAUGGCUUAUGGUACAGAGGCUGAUGUCUGGAGCGUAGGUGUGAUUGCACACAUUCUAUUGUGUGGCAGCUGUCGAUUUUGGCCUUGAACGAAGUUUGGCAUUUUUCGGGCAGUUCUAAAAGUUGAUCCAAGUUUCAAUGAACCACCUUGGCCACAUUCUCUACAGAGGCAAAAGUAAUUUUGUCAAGCGCCUAUUGAAUCAAGACCCACGGAAAAGAAUUACCACUGCACAAACGUGAAGUCAUCCCUGCCGUGAACAUCAUAACUGUUAAACUUCCUCUGGACAUAAUAAUAUUCAAGCUCAUGAAGGUUUAUAUGCGCUUAUCACCGCUCCGCAAAACUGCUUUAAGGGGAGUUUUUUGCUCAGCUUUCCAGGUUGGUGUAUCAACAUGGUGUCUUAACAUGACAGGGCCGAUUUUUGUAUCUAUGUUCAAGCCUUUGGGGAUCGUAGUUGCAGUUGCCACUGGUUUUGGGGUGUAGCAUACUCUUCACUCUCUGGGUUCAGAAAAUCUAGAAAGAAAGCACGGGCUAUCUAGCUUAAUUUUGAGUUUAACUACCAAAAAAGAUAAUUGUUGUUUAUGUACUCUAAUCGACUGAAAACACGUAUCAAUAACAAAGAGACCCGCAGCAAAUCUAUCUAGUUAAUAUAGAAGCAGUCACGCGGAGUGAUACAACUAUGUGUAUGACUAAUUUUGUACAAUCAUGUUCCACGUUGCUACUAGAGAAUACUCCCAGAAACGACCUAGGCGGACAGCGGAGAAGGGAGACUCUUCAAAGUCUUUACUGAUUGGAUUUCUAAUCUAAAACGCACCUCCAUCACUCACUCAUCCAUC
Molecule: long non-coding RNA, 2895 nt
Organism: Rosa chinensis
Lineage: Eukaryota; Viridiplantae; Streptophyta; Magnoliopsida; Rosales; Rosaceae
Exons: 10
Source: RefSeq, a predicted model, not a curated record